GCGAGCUGAAUUCAAAGAUCCCUUCGGGGUGAUUUGUUGGACGCUAGCGGCGGAUGGGUGAGUAACACGUGGGCAAUCUGCCCUAAAGACUGGGAUACCACUUGGAAACAGGUGCUAAUACCGGAUAACAACAUGAAUCGCAUGAUUCAAGUUUGAAAGGCGGCGCAAGCUGUCACUUUAGGAUGAGCCCGCGGCGCAUUAGCUAGUUGGUGGGGUAAAGGCCUACCAAGGCAAUGAUGCGUAGCCGAGUUGAGAGACUGAUCGGCCACAUUGGGACUGAGACACGGCCCAAACUCCUACGGGAGGCAGCAGUAGGGAAUCUUCCACAAUGGACGCAAGUCUGAUGGAGCAACGCCGCGUGAGUGAAGAAGGUUUUCGGAUCGUAAAGCUCUGUUGUUGGUGAAGAAGGAUAGAGGCAGUAACUGGUCUUUAUUUGACGGUAAUCAACCAGAAAGUCACGGCUAACUACGUGCCAGCAGCCGCGGUAAUACGUAGGUGGCAAGCGUUGUCCGGAUUUAUUGGGCGUAAAGCGAGCGCAGGCGGAAUGAUAAGUCUGAUGUGAAAGCCCACGGCUCAACCGUGGAACUGCAUCGGAAACUGUCAUUCUUGAGUGCAGAAGAGGAGAGUGGAAUUCCAUGUGUAGCGGUGGAAUGCGU
RNAcentral lists this ribosomal RNA (656 nucleotides) under Lactobacillus delbrueckii subsp. bulgaricus. Its description in RNAcentral is "bacterial SSU rRNA". It matches the Rfam family "Bacterial small subunit ribosomal RNA", at positions 57 to 691 of the family's 1533-position model. Lineage: Bacteria; Bacillati; Bacillota; Bacilli; Lactobacillales; Lactobacillaceae. The record is from RNAcentral.